RNAcentral lists this transfer RNA (69 nucleotides) under Neotoma lepida (desert woodrat). It matches the Rfam family "tRNA". Rfam says of the family: Transfer RNA (tRNA) molecules are approximately 80 nucleotides in length. Their secondary structure includes four short double-helical elements and three loops (D, anti-codon, and T loops). The record is from Rfam by way of RNAcentral. Lineage: Eukaryota; Metazoa; Chordata; Mammalia; Rodentia; Cricetidae.
GGGUUGGCUUAGUGGAUAAGAGUGCUUGCUUUACAAGCAUGAAGAUCUGAAUUCAAACUCCAGCACCCA